RNAcentral lists this ribosomal RNA (253 nucleotides) under uncultured bacterium. RNAcentral describes it as "partial 16S ribosomal RNA". It matches the Rfam family "Bacterial small subunit ribosomal RNA", at positions 524 to 776 of the family's 1533-position model. The record is from RNAcentral.
UACGGAGGGGACUAGCGUUGUUCGGAAUUACUGGGCGUAAAGCGCCCGUAGGCGGCUUUGUAAGUCAGGGGUGAAAUCCCGGGGCUCAACCUCGGAACUGCCUUUGAUACUGCAAAUCUCGAGUCCGGAAGAGGUGAGUGGAAUUCCUAGUGUAGAGGUGAAAUUCGUAGAUAUUAGGAAGAACACCGGUGGCGAAGGCGGCCCACUGGUCCGGUACUGACGCUGAGGUGCGAAAGCGUGGGGAGCAAACAGG